UCUACAUCGUCGAACUAAAGGUCCGCUCUGCAAUAGCACAGAACAGAAAGAAGUUAGCAGCCACAAUUCCUCUUCACCUACAGUCAAGCAGAAUUUAGCUCUGUGUAUACUUACUCUGUAGGUUUCCUCUCUUCAACCACUGGUUUCUUUUUCUUGGCUGCUUGCUCGCCGUUUGACUUUCCACUGUCCUUUUUCCUUUUUGGAGCAGCAGACGGUUUUGUCUCUGAGACAGCUGGAACCUUUGAG
This is a long non-coding RNA of Sander lucioperca (pikeperch), 246 nucleotides long. RefSeq lists it as uncharacterized. The transcript has 3 exons. NCBI's taxonomy places the organism in Eukaryota, Metazoa, Chordata, Actinopteri, Perciformes, Percidae. The record is from RefSeq and is a predicted model, not a curated record.